CCUACGGGUGGCAGCAGUGAGGAAUAUUGGUCAAUGGACGCAAGUCUGAACCAGCCAUGCCGCGUGCAGGAAGACGGCCCUAUGGGUUGUAAACUGCUUUUGUACGGGGGUAAACGCAGAUACGCGUAUCUGUUUGCAAGUACCUUACGAAUAAGGAUCGGCUAAUUCCGUGCCAGCCGCCGCGGUAAUACGGAGGAUGCAAGCGUUAUCCGGAUUUAUUGGGUUUAAAGGGUGCGUAGGCGGUGCGUUAAGUGAGAGGUGAAAUCCCGGGGCUCAACUUCGGAAUUGCAUCUGAUACUGGGCGGCUUGAGGGUGGUGGAGGUAGGCGGAAU
Molecule: ribosomal RNA, 332 nt
Filed under: uncultured bacterium
Lineage: Bacteria
Description: partial 16S ribosomal RNA
Rfam family: Bacterial small subunit ribosomal RNA
Source: RNAcentral